CAUACUUCCAAGAAAAGCUUGCACUGUCAUAAACAAAGAAUGCCUGUACCAUAACCGACACAGGUGGGUAGGUAGAGUAUACUAAGGGGCGCGAGAUAACUCUCUCUAAGGAACUCGGCAAAAUGACUCCGUAACUUCGGGAGAAGGAGUGCCUUAUUUCUAAGGUUGCAAUAACAAGAUCCAAGCAACUGUUUACCAAAAACACAGGUCUCCGCUAAGUCGUAAGACGAUGUAUGGGGGCUGACGCCUGCCCAGUGCCAGAAGGUUAAAGAAGUUGGUUAGCAUUAGCGAAGCUGAUAACUGAAGCCCUGGUGAACGGCGGCCGUAACAAUAACGGUCCUAAGGUAGCGAAAUUCCUUGUCGGGUAAGUUCCGACCCGCACGAAAGGCGUAAUGAUUUGGAUACUGUCUCGGAGAGGGGCUCGGUGAAAUAGACUUGUCUGUGAAGAUGCGGACUACCUGCACCUGGACAGAAAGACCCUAUGAAGCUUUACUGUAACUUGAGAUUGAAAUUGGACUUUAUUUGCGCAGUAUAGGUGGGAGGCGUUGAGAAUAAUCUUGCGGGAUUGUUGGAGCCAUCAGUGAGAUACCACUCUUGUAAUGUUAGAUUUCUAACUUUGUAUCAUUAUCUGGUCAAAGAACAGUUUCAGGCGGGCAGUUUGACUGGGGCGGUCGCCUCCCAAAGGGUAACGGAGGCGCACAAAGGUUUCCUCUGAACGGGUAGAAAUCGUAUCUAGAGUGUAAAGGCAUAAGGAAGCUUGACUGUGAGACCUACAAGUCGAGCAGGGACGAAAGUCGGUCUUAGUGAUCUGACGGUGCUGAGUGGAAAGGCCGUCACUCAACGGAUAAAAGUUACUCUAAGGAUAACAGGCUGAUCUCCCCCAAGAGUUCACAUCGACGGGGAGGUUUGGCACCUCGAUGUCGGCUCAUCGCAUCCUGGGGCGGUAGUCCGUCCCAAGGGUUGGGCUGUUCGCCCAUGAAAGCGGUACGCGAGCUGGGUUCAGAACGUCGUGAGACAGUUCGGUCCAUAUCCGGUGUAGGCGUUAGAAUAUUGAGAGGAGCCUUCUCUAGUACGAGAGGACCGAGAAGGACAUACCUCUGGUGUACCAGUUAUCGUGCCAACGGUAAACGCUGGGUAGCUAUGUAUGGAGUGGAUAACCGCUGAAAGCAUCUAAGUGGGAAGCCCACCUCAAGAUAAGUAUUCAC
This 1205-nucleotide ribosomal RNA is filed under the name metagenome. Its description in RNAcentral is "bacterial LSU rRNA". It matches the Rfam family "Bacterial large subunit ribosomal RNA", at positions 1601 to 2815 of the family's 2925-position model. The record is from RNAcentral.